Molecule: transfer RNA, 85 nt
Filed under: Leisingera sp. NJS201
Lineage: Bacteria; Pseudomonadati; Pseudomonadota; Alphaproteobacteria; Rhodobacterales; Roseobacteraceae
Description: tRNA-OTHER
Source: RNAcentral
AGCGCCUUGGCUUCGCAAGUAACUCCCCUGCUAAGGGAGUAGGCCCGGAAGGGUCUCGAGGGUUCGAAUCCCUUCGUCUCCGCCA